GCACGUUUCUGAUCGUAAUCACUUGGCUGUGGGAGGAGAGGAAUUCGAGUCGCAGGCUGUGAGCCCCGGGGGGCAGCUGGCAGAUGUCUACCAAGGAUGGUGGAAUGGGGAACUCCAAAAGUCUCUUUCUCCAUAGAAGCAGAGAAUAAAUUGGCAAAAACAGAAUCGACUUUAUUGGAACUCUAGAAAAUAGAAGUUUACAGCAACUAAGUAAAUGGUCAGUAAAAAAACAAAACAACAAUAAAGAAAAAUGGCUGAAUCUUGAAAA
This is a non-coding RNA of Leptonychotes weddellii (Weddell seal), 268 nucleotides long. The record is from RefSeq and is a predicted model, not a curated record. Lineage: Eukaryota; Metazoa; Chordata; Mammalia; Carnivora; Phocidae.